RNAcentral lists this transfer RNA (98 nucleotides) under Chloroflexota bacterium. RNAcentral's name for it is "Chloroflexi bacterium (groundwater metagenome) tRNA-Sec". It matches the Rfam family "Selenocysteine transfer RNA". Lineage: Bacteria; Bacillati; Chloroflexota. The record is from RNAcentral.
GGGGGCGAAUGGGGCCCGGUGGCCUUCGCGGACUUCAAAUCCGGCGGUGGGUGCCCUACGGUAUCCACGGUGGGUUCGACUCCCACACGUCCCCGCCA